RNAcentral lists this ribosomal RNA (2903 nucleotides) under Escherichia coli. RNAcentral describes it as "23S ribosomal RNA". It matches the Rfam family "Bacterial large subunit ribosomal RNA". Lineage: Bacteria; Pseudomonadati; Pseudomonadota; Gammaproteobacteria; Enterobacterales; Enterobacteriaceae. The record is from RNAcentral.
GGUUAAGCGACUAAGCGUACACGGUGGAUGCCCUGGCAGUCAGAGGCGAUGAAGGACGUGCUAAUCUGCGAUAAGCGUCGGUAAGGUGAUAUGAACCGUUAUAACCGGCGAUUUCCGAAUGGGGGAAACCCAGUGUGUUUCGACACACUAUCAUUAACUGAAUCCAUAGGUUAAUGAGGCGAACCGGGGAACUGAAACAUCUAAGUACCCCGAGGAAAAGAAAUCAACCGAGAUUCCCCCAGUAGCGGCGAGCGAACGGGGAGCAGCCCAGAGCCUGAAUCAGUGUGUGUGUUAGUGGAAGCGUCUGGAAAGGCGCGCGAUACAGGGUGACAGCCCCGUACACAAAAAUGCACAUGCUGUGAGCUCGAUGAGUAGGGCGGGACACGUGGUAUCCUGUCUGAAUAUGGGGGGACCAUCCUCCAAGGCUAAAUACUCCUGACUGACCGAUAGUGAACCAGUACCGUGAGGGAAAGGCGAAAAGAACCCCGGCGAGGGGAGUGAAAAAGAACCUGAAACCGUGUACGUACAAGCAGUGGGAGCACGCUUAGGCGUGUGACUGCGUACCUUUUGUAUAAUGGGUCAGCGACUUAUAUUCUGUAGCAAGGUUAACCGAAUAGGGGAGCCGAAGGGAAACCGAGUCUUAACUGGGCGUUAAGUUGCAGGGUAUAGACCCGAAACCCGGUGAUCUAGCCAUGGGCAGGUUGAAGGUUGGGUAACACUAACUGGAGGACCGAACCGACUAAUGUUGAAAAAUUAGCGGAUGACUUGUGGCUGGGGGUGAAAGGCCAAUCAAACCGGGAGAUAGCUGGUUCUCCCCGAAAGCUAUUUAGGUAGCGCCUCGUGAAUUCAUCUCCGGGGGUAGAGCACUGUUUCGGCAAGGGGGUCAUCCCGACUUACCAACCCGAUGCAAACUGCGAAUACCGGAGAAUGUUAUCACGGGAGACACACGGCGGGUGCUAACGUCCGUCGUGAAGAGGGAAACAACCCAGACCGCCAGCUAAGGUCCCAAAGUCAUGGUUAAGUGGGAAACGAUGUGGGAAGGCCCAGACAGCCAGGAUGUUGGCUUAGAAGCAGCCAUCAUUUAAAGAAAGCGUAAUAGCUCACUGGUCGAGUCGGCCUGCGCGGAAGAUGUAACGGGGCUAAACCAUGCACCGAAGCUGCGGCAGCGACGCUGAUGCGUUGUUGGGUAGGGGAGCGUUCUGUAAGCCUGUGAAGGUGUGCUGUGAGGCAUGCUGGAGGUAUCAGAAGUGCGAAUGCUGACAUAAGUAACGAUAAAGCGGGUGAAAAGCCCGCUCGCCGGAAGACCAAGGGUUCCUGUCCAACGUUAAUCGGGGCAGGGUGAGUCGACCCCUAAGGCGAGGCCGAAAGGCGUAGUCGAUGGGAAACAGGUUAAUAUUCCUGUACUUGGUGUUACUGCGAAGGGGGGACGGAGAAGGCUAUGUUGGCCGGGCGACGGUUGUCCCGGUUUAAGCGUGUAGGCUGGUUUUCCAGGCAAAUCCGGAAAAUCAAGGCUGAGGCGUGAUGACGAGGCACUACGGUGCUGAAGCAACAAAUGCCCUGCUUCCAGGAAAAGCCUCUAAGCAUCAGGUAACAUCAAAUCGUACCCCAAACCGACACAGGUGGUCAGGUAGAGAAUACCAAGGCGCUUGAGAGAACUCGGGUGAAGGAACUAGGCAAAAUGGUGCCGUAACUUCGGGAGAAGGCACGCUGAUAUGUAGGUGAAGUCCCUUGCGGAUGGAGCUGAAAUCAGUCGAAGAUACCAGCUGGCUGCAACUGUUUAUUAAAAACACAGCACUGUGCAAACACGAAAGUGGACGUAUACGGUGUGACGCCUGCCCGGUGCCGGAAGGUUAAUUGAUGGGGUCAGCGCAAGCGAAGCUCUUGAUCGAAGCCCCGGUAAACGGCGGCCGUAACUAUAACGGUCCUAAGGUAGCGAAAUUCCUUGUCGGGUAAGUUCCGACCUGCACGAAUGGCGUAAUGAUGGCCAGGCUGUCUCCACCCGAGACUCAGUGAAAUUGAACUCGCUGUGAAGAUGCAGUGUACCCGCGGCAAGACGGAAAGACCCCGUGAACCUUUACUAUAGCUUGACACUGAACAUUGAGCCUUGAUGUGUAGGAUAGGUGGGAGGCUUUGAAGUGUGGACGCCAGUCUGCAUGGAGCCGACCUUGAAAUACCACCCUUUAAUGUUUGAUGUUCUAACGUUGACCCGUAAUCCGGGUUGCGGACAGUGUCUGGUGGGUAGUUUGACUGGGGCGGUCUCCUCCUAAAGAGUAACGGAGGAGCACGAAGGUUGGCUAAUCCUGGUCGGACAUCAGGAGGUUAGUGCAAUGGCAUAAGCCAGCUUGACUGCGAGCGUGACGGCGCGAGCAGGUGCGAAAGCAGGUCAUAGUGAUCCGGUGGUUCUGAAUGGAAGGGCCAUCGCUCAACGGAUAAAAGGUACUCCGGGGAUAACAGGCUGAUACCGCCCAAGAGUUCAUAUCGACGGCGGUGUUUGGCACCUCGAUGUCGGCUCAUCACAUCCUGGGGCUGAAGUAGGUCCCAAGGGUAUGGCUGUUCGCCAUUUAAAGUGGUACGCGAGCUGGGUUUAGAACGUCGUGAGACAGUUCGGUCCCUAUCUGCCGUGGGCGCUGGAGAACUGAGGGGGCUGCUCCUAGUACGAGAGGACCGGAGUGGACGCAUCACUGGUGUUCGGGUUGUCAUGCCAAUGGCACUGCCCGGUAGCUAAAUGCGGAAGAGAUAAGUGCUGAAAGCAUCUAAGCACGAAACUUGCCCCGAGAUGAGUUCUCCCUGACUCCUUGAGAGUCCUGAAGGAACGUUGAAGACGACGACGUUGAUAGGCCGGGUGUGUAAGCGCAGCGAUGCGUUGAGCUAACCGGUACUAAUGAACCGUGAGGCUUAACCUU